This 205-nucleotide microRNA precursor is filed under the name Oryza brachyantha (malo sina). Its description in RNAcentral is "MIR812 microRNA precursor family". It matches the Rfam family "MIR812 microRNA precursor family". Lineage: Eukaryota; Viridiplantae; Streptophyta; Magnoliopsida; Poales; Poaceae. The record is from Rfam by way of RNAcentral.
AAUAAACCAAUUUUUCACUUUUUACCUUUAAUUUUUGACACUUCAUCUUAUUUAAAUUUUUUUGUGAUUGGUAUUUUUGUUUUUAUUAGAUGAUAAAUCAUGAAUAGUACUUUACGUGUGAUUAAUUUUUUUCUAAUUUUCUAAAAAUUUCUAAAUAAGACAGAUGGUCAAACGUUGGACACGGAAACCGAAGAAUUCGUUUUUU